This is a long non-coding RNA of Manis pentadactyla (Chinese pangolin), 2507 nucleotides long. RefSeq lists it as uncharacterized. NCBI's taxonomy places the organism in Eukaryota, Metazoa, Chordata, Mammalia, Pholidota, Manidae. The transcript is spliced from 6 exons. The record is from RefSeq and is a predicted model, not a curated record.
CCCUCCGCCCGCCAUACGCGGUGCGGGGUCCCUCCGGUCUGUUCCCCGCCCACCACCGUGCUACCUCCGACGUCGCUGCGGCCGCCCACGCGCAGCCCUUGCGGUUCACAGUCCCCGUGAGGCUGGGCCCCGCCCCUGGCCUCUCUUCCACGCCCCUUUCCCGUCGUUUUCCUGCCUGAAUCCCUUCCCUGGCGUCUCGGGCCUCCCGCGCCUAGUGACCCUCCACCACGGGCUGUGCGGCUCCCGAAACACAGCGCCGGCGGCCCAGCUCCAGGAGGAGGCCCACUGAGCCCGCCGGUCUCCUGCUGGCCCCUCCGGCCGACCGCCGCCCCCAACCGCCUCCCCGCGGUCUCGGGCUGGGCCCUCUGCUACCCAGGCCGCCCCUGCGAGGCGCCUCUUCCCCAGAGCGCGGUGCGGGAGGCGAGCCGGGACGCCUGGGACGCCCGGACUCGAGCCCUGAUUCCGCCGACGGUGAAUGUGCUCUCCCGUGAGGCCGGCGCCCGGUGCCUCCGCGCCCCUGGGCUCGGGGGCGAAGGCGCUCGGGAGAGGCCGGGCCGGAGCGGCGGGGACAGAAGCGGAACGAGUGCGGAGGCCGGGGGGCUGCGGGAGAGCAGGCGCCCGGAGAGGACGGGCAAGCCCGUGAAGGAGCAGGCGGCGGAGCCGGGGAGGCUUAGAGGCCAGCGGGACCUCCGGGUGGAGGAUUGGCUUCUAAGAAAGACUCAUGUUCCCUGAGGCCAAAGUCCGGAAAAAGAGGAGGAGGACGGCAGAGAAGGAGCCGGGAAUGGCUGUUCCUCAGAUGACGAGACCCUAGGCACAGCGUGUAAAAACCGUACCAACUCACAUCUCCCUGUGUUGCAGCAUUAGAAGCCAAACCUGUGUUUUCUGGCUUCAAAGACAAGCCUCUUAAUCACGCUGCUACAUACAGAAAGGCAGGUAAACUGAUGGCCACAGUGACUUACAAAAGGCAAUCCAGCUCGUCUAAGCAGCAGAAUGGAGUCUUGGAACCAGUCAUUCCAAUUCCGGUCUCCUUUUUGUGUUCUGAUGUAUUUGGCAGUACAUGUUUUGGUGUCUGUCCUAAUCCUCUAUCUGCUGAAGAGGAAAAUGAGGAUCCUCUGAAUGGCAAUCGAUGUGCUAUUGGAUGCAUUUCCAUGGGUCAGAAAUCCAAGCACAGCUUAUCUGGACCCUCUGCCUCAGGGUCUCUCACAGGCUGAAAACAAGUCACAAAGAGAAAAAACAAGUCCGGUAAGGUGUCCAAGCUGGGCCUGAAGACACUCCCUGCCAUGUGCUGUUCCCUUGCUAAGAAUAUUCCUUCUUGUCUGUUGAACGCGAUCCUAAAAGAGUCCAGUCCAGUGCUCACCCUGCCUGAGCCAGCUGAGCUGCCAUAACAGAAUGCCACCGACUGGGUGGCCUGAGCAGACAUUCUCACAGUUCUGGGGACUGGGAGUCCGAGGGCAAGGCGCCAGCAGCUUCCAUUCUUGGUAAGGUCCUCUUCCCGGCACGCAGGCGGCCACCUUCUCUGCAUGUCCUCACGCGGGAUGGGGAGGAAGCUUGGUGCCUCUUCUUGUAAGGGUGCUCAUCCCGCCACCGGGGCCCAGCCCCGUGACGCAGCUGAAGUCAUCACCUCCCAAGGCCCCAGCUCCAAACAGCAUCUCACUGGGGAUUAGGGUUUCCACAUAUGGGUUCUGGGGGAGGGGGAACGCAAGCAUUCAGUCUGCAACAACCCCUUUAAGAAGGCUUCCCUGACCCCUAGGAAUAUAAGCGACCACAGGCGCUAUGCUUCUGUGACCUUUUAGUCUGUACGGCAUGUUGUGAAUGUGACUCUCAUUAAAUCCUGAGCACCUUGGUGGUAGACUGGGGGUCUUCCUCGCUGUCCCCUCAGUGGGCAUGGGGCAAUGAAGGAACCCGCUGGUGGUCAGUAGACACCCGGGAAGAGCACUGCAGGGAGCAGGGUGGCCCUUGUCUAACACCCCGGCUGUUCCUCACUCACCUGGAUCUUUCCUUUCAGCUCAUGUAAAUGUGCAACCUCUGGCGGCUUGACUCUCAGCAGGAAUGUUUGCAGCACCUGGACGUCCUGUAGUUGGUGAGAAGUUCCAACAUGUCCACUCAGAAAUUAGAAACCUGACCACCCGACUCCUCAGCGUGUUUAGUGUGUUAAUGGUCUUUGAACCACGGUCUGAAUUGGAUACAUUCGUCUUCAAAAGAACUUAAAAUUCCAGCAUGAAAGUCCGGGAGGAAAACUGUCCUCGCAUUCAGAAGGCGAUGUCCCAAAGUGCGUUUUCUGUCUGGUUAGGAUCGCUUCCUUGCUGUUCGGACACCCAGGCUGAUGCUUUUUCACCCCUCCACCCCUGCUCUAAAAGGAGCUGCUUCAUUGCCCAGGUUCUCUGUGAUCUUUAAGGCACAAACUCACAUUAUGAUCAUAUUUUAUAUGCAAUCUCCAAUGUGUUUGAGUGUAGUGGAGACAUAUCUUUCCUAAAGCUUUAAAAUAAAAUUUAAUGUCUUAGAAAGUU